GCCCGGAUGGUGAAAUGGUAGACACAGGGGUCUCAAAAGCCCCCGCCUUCGGGUUUGCCGGUUCGAGUCCGGCUCCGGGCA
This 81-nucleotide transfer RNA is filed under the name Kofleriaceae bacterium. RNAcentral describes it as "tRNA-Leu". It matches the Rfam family "tRNA". From Rfam's summary of the family: Transfer RNA (tRNA) molecules are approximately 80 nucleotides in length. Their secondary structure includes four short double-helical elements and three loops (D, anti-codon, and T loops). Further hydrogen bonds mediate the characteristic L-shaped molecular structure. tRNAs have two regions of fundamental functional importance: the anti-codon, which is responsible for specific mRNA codon recognition, and the 3' end, to which the tRNAs corresponding amino acid is attached (by aminoacyl-tRNA synthetases). tRNAs cope with the degeneracy of the genetic code in two manners: having more than one tRNA (with a specific anti-codon) for a particular amino acid; and 'wobble' base-pairing, i.e. permitting non-standard base-pairing at the 3rd anti-codon position. Lineage: Bacteria; Pseudomonadati; Myxococcota; Haliangiales; Kofleriaceae. The record is from RNAcentral.